RNAcentral lists this ribosomal RNA (303 nucleotides) under uncultured bacterium. RNAcentral's name for it is "partial 16S ribosomal RNA". It matches the Rfam family "Bacterial small subunit ribosomal RNA", at positions 507 to 809 of the family's 1533-position model. The record is from RNAcentral.
AGCAGUCGCCGCGGUAAUACGUAGGGUGCGAGCGUUAAUCGGAAUUACUGGGCGUAAAGCGUGCGCAGGCGGUUGUGUAAGACAGGUGUGAAAUCCCCGGGCUUAACCUGGGAACUGCGCUUGUGACUGCACAGCUAGAGUAUGGCAGAGGGGGGUGGAAUUCCACGUGUAGCAGUGAAAUGCGUAGAGAUGUGGAGGAACACCGAUGGCGAAGGCAGCCCCCUGGGCCAAUACUGACGCUCAUGCACGAAAGCGUGGGGAGCAAACAGGAUUAGAUACCCGGGUAGUCCCUGUCUCUUAUAU